AGAGGGAAGAAUAAGGGGGAAAGGACAGGGAUAGAGGAUAAACUUUGAAUAUACCUUGUUUUGCAGUGUUGAUUUUAGACCCAUGUAAAAAUUUUAAAUAAUUAUAAAAUUAAUUUAAAAUAGAAACCAAUUCCUAAAAUUAAAAAAAAACAACAAAUAAAUUCUAUUAUUUUCAAAACAAAGGUUUUUUUUUCUAAAGAGUUGUCUACAACACGAAAGCUAGACCAAUGAGUUGACACCUGGGCUUCCUCUCAAGGCAACGGCCCAUCUUUUCUUUCGUGGGACUCAGUCUCCCUCUAGCGGAGGCUAGUUUUAUAACUAGUCCCCGAAACCACGAAGGAAACCUUUUGCUCAUUGUCUCCUGCCCCCCAUCCUUAAAUUACGUAAGUCCUCGAGCCACCAGCGGGAGGAUGUGGUAGAAGAUUCUGAGCGAUGGCCGAGCAAAGAGUCAGAGACAGAGUCCGGUGUUGGAAGGAAGUUGGGGGCAUAAGAGACAGGACAGACUCGAGGAGCCUCGAACACGGGGCGGAGGAACUGCAGCUUCCUGUGGUGGAUUCCCAGCGCCCGGGGCCAGAAAGAGGUGUGGUGAUUGUGUCUCCAAAGAGAUCACAUCAGGAUCUCCCAUCCCAUAAGCUCUUUGGCAGUGUGACCCGGGCAUUUACCCUCCACCCCGAUGUGAGGAAGCGGACCUUAUGGAGAGGCCACGUGUAAGUGUUCCUACUGAAAUGCCAGCCAACAGCAAGCACAACCUCCAGGCAUGUGAGUGGGUGACUCCAGGUAAUGCCAGCACCAGCCUGUUAAGUCACCUCUAGGCUCUGUUCUAGCUGAAGUCCCAGAGAUUUUGGAACAGAAACUGUCCCCCUGCUACUCUUUACCAAUUCUUGACCCUGGAGUGGUUUGUUACACAGCAGUAAUCAGAACACACCCUCAAGGUGGCAUCUAGGUUCACGUGGAACUAUCAUGGUAGCAGAGAGGGGAGGCAACGUCAGGUCCCUGUGGCUGGCCUCUGGGACGCUACUGCUCUCAGCCAUGUUGGCCUUGUCCCUGCGGGCCUCCUGCUGACUUGCAGCUGUUUCUGCUGGGCCUUUUGGGGUCUUAUCCUGACAUUAACUAGUUCACUCAUUUUCCUGUAGUUGCAAAGUCUCUGCCCAACGGGCUGAUCUGUCUCGUUCCCUUGUUUACAAAAGACAUUUGUUCUUGUCUAGGUGUCUUCCCUUGGAAGGAGAUAGGAGUUCAGUCUCUUCAGACUCCAUUCUUCUCUUCAUUCCCCCAAAACUCCCACUGUGGCUGGAUUAGCAGGAUAGCCGGGUGUGCUCACUUCCUACUCCUGGGUUUUUAAUGCAUUUCCUCAGAAGCGGGAGGAUCUGAUUCCUUCCAGCACUGGCCCCACUGCAGGCUGUCAUGGGAAUAUUUGGGCAUGUCCCACGAGGGGUGUGGGAAGGGGCAGCAGCAAGCACCGGUGGCACCUCGACCUGUGUCCUGCAGUUUCCCCACUGCCUCACCUUGUGGUCAAAAGGGGCAAUCCGCCUCUUCCACGGCAGGGUAGGGGCUCACAUUCAUUCCCUUGUCUGGCUUGGACCUCACAGCUCCCCUCUCCAGGCACUCCAAGACAAACUGCAGUAUCUGUAGGGCUGAUACCUAGUGAUGCUCCAAUUUAAAAAGGGAUUUGUGGGGGCCCCUGAGUGGCUCAGUCGGUUAAGCAUCUGCCUUUGGCUUGGGUCAUGAUCUCAGGGUCCUGGGAUCAAGUCCCACCAUCGGCUCUGGGUUCAGCGGGGAGUCUGCUUCUCCCUCUCCCUCUGCCUGCCACUCCACCUACUUGUGCGCACUCUAUCAAAUAAAUAAAUAAAAUCUUAAAGAAAAAGAAAAUAUAAAAAGGGAUUUGUGGACAAUCAGUAUGAAUGACCUAGGUUUGGAUCUGGCCCCAUCACUAGAAUGGGACCUCGGGCAUGUCCCUUAACAACUUUAUUUCUUCAUCUGUUGCAUUUUGGUGGUGACUGUCUCCUAAGAUUGUUAAAAUGAUUCAGUGACAUUGUAAACCACUUGCAUUUACAAGGUAAAUGUAAAACAAAAAUGAGUCAUGAUUUUUAAAUGUGCAUUAACAAAUUCAAGACUCUGCAAGGUAUGUAGAGAACUGCUGCACUCUCCUACACCAGACUUUCCCCGUUGUUACGUCCGUAGAAUCCUUUUAAAUAGCACACCUGUAAUUGGGAUCAGAGCGGUUUAGGGUCAGAGACGCAGGAGCC
Long non-coding RNA from Ailuropoda melanoleuca (giant panda), 2243 nucleotides. RefSeq lists it as uncharacterized. The record is from RefSeq and is a predicted model, not a curated record. Lineage: Eukaryota; Metazoa; Chordata; Mammalia; Carnivora; Ursidae. The transcript is spliced from 3 exons.